Molecule: unclassified non-coding RNA, 330 nt
Filed under: Hevea brasiliensis (rubber tree)
Lineage: Eukaryota; Viridiplantae; Streptophyta; Magnoliopsida; Malpighiales; Euphorbiaceae
Source: RNAcentral
AAAAUAUGUCACCUCCAUGAACAAUAAAAUCAGAGACAAUCACCAGUGUGAGUAAAGCAAGUGAAAAAACUCGGAAAACCGCCAAAUAAAUUGGGUUUAUUAUUUUCACACAUGGUUUCCAAGCUUUGUCAAAAUACAAAAUCCAUGACCGUUUUUGACAAUCCUCCCUUCUAUCAGAUUCUGGAAUUACAUUAACUGAUCGUUCAUACUUCCAUAGAAUGAUCACAGCUAUAACCGUUGGUGUCAAGACCCAUAACGCACAGAGCAAAAACCUCCAGUUCAACCAAUAACUCAGAUCAGUAGUAUCAGCAGUUGUCAGGAGCUGCAUCC